GGAUGCGAUCAUACCAGCACUAAAGCACCGGAUCCCAUCAGAACUCCGAAGAUAAGGGUGCUUGGGCGAGGGUAGUACUAGGAUGGGUGACCUCCUGGGAAGUCCUCGUGUUGCAUUCC
Non-coding RNA from Triticum aestivum (bread wheat), 119 nucleotides. Lineage: Eukaryota; Viridiplantae; Streptophyta; Magnoliopsida; Poales; Poaceae. The record is from Rfam.